Long non-coding RNA from Eptesicus fuscus (big brown bat), 620 nucleotides. RefSeq lists it as uncharacterized. Lineage: Eukaryota; Metazoa; Chordata; Mammalia; Chiroptera; Vespertilionidae. The record is from RefSeq and is a predicted model, not a curated record. The transcript has 3 exons.
GAUGCCAUCGGACAAGCAGGUGCUGGGCCACAUCAUUCCUGCUUCUCUUCCAGAAUACACGAGGGCCGGGGAACAUGUUCUUCCCCAGGGGAAGGAGAGGCUGAAAAUGAACUACCUUGUUGGUCAGGAAACCAGAGCCAGCCAACACCCAACAGGCCGGCUUUGAAAGCUUCACCGGAGACAGAAGUUAGAACAACAGGGGAAUCCCACAGCUCAGAAAGCUACCCAGCUCCCAAGAUGAGGAUAGUCAGCCAGAACCCCAGCUCCUUCCCAAGAGCCACCGUGUCCAGUAUGGUAGCCACCAGCUCCGUGUGACUAUUGGCUGAUCUGCACUGUGCUAGAUUGUGCGUGUAAAACAGGCACUGUUUCUGCUUUGUUGUGAGGGGCUGCCCUGUGCAUGGAGGGUGGUUAGCAGCAUCCUGGUCUCUGCCCUCUAGAUGCCAGUAGCACACACGGCUGCACUCGCUGCCCCUCCCCUUGUGACAACCAAAAACAUCCUAGACAAUUGCCAAAAUUGCCCCAAGUUGAAAAUCAUCCAGAUUUCAAACUUAGUAAGAAAAAAAAACCACAAAAUAACUAAUUAAUAAAUUUUUUUAGUAUUGAUGACUUGCUAAAAUGAU